GACGAACGCUGGCGGCGUGCUUAACACAUGCAAGUCGAACGGAAAGUGCCCAGCUUGCUGGGUGACUCGAGUGGCGAACGGGUGAGUAACACGUGGGUGAUCUGCCCUGCACUUCGGGAUAAGCUUGGGAAACUGGGUCUAAUACCGGAUAGGACCAUGCCAUGCAUGUGGUGUGGUGGAAAGCUUUUUGCGGUGUGGGAUGGGCCCGCGGCCUAUCAGCUUGUUGGUGGGGUGAUGGCCUACCAAGGCGACGACGGGUAGCCGGCCUGAGAGGGUGUCCGGCCACACUGGGACUGAGAUACGGCCCAGACUCCUACGGGAGGCUG
This 326-nucleotide ribosomal RNA is filed under the name uncultured Actinomycetes bacterium. RNAcentral's name for it is "bacterial SSU rRNA". It matches the Rfam family "Bacterial small subunit ribosomal RNA", at positions 28 to 351 of the family's 1533-position model. Lineage: Bacteria; Bacillati; Actinomycetota; Actinomycetes. The record is from RNAcentral.